This 6737-nucleotide long non-coding RNA is filed under the name Nicotiana tabacum (common tobacco). Its description in RNAcentral is "long non-coding RNA (NTAB_LNC014148)". The record is from RNAcentral. Lineage: Eukaryota; Viridiplantae; Streptophyta; Magnoliopsida; Solanales; Solanaceae.
ACGCACUUAGCAUUUAGGCUUAUUCCACACACCAACAAAAGAUUCUUCCACCAUCAGAAUUUUGGUAAAUUUUAAUCUCUAUCCAAUUGCACACACUCCUUACAUGACCAAUCUUUACUUGCUCCCCAAUUCAUCUUACCCACUAUAAAAAUGCACCUAUAAAGAGAAAACUUGCUUCUGCAUUUCAAGCUUCAUAGCAAAUAGCUCAGAAGCUUAAAACAUGAAAAACUCAUGAAAACUUCCAUCUUCUCCAUAAAAUAAAUCAGCCACCAUCCUCCAUUAAAACCAUGUAAAAAGCUCCUUGAAACUCCAUAAAAUGCCAAAAGAAGCUGCUCAAAAACGACUUCCAAAGCCACCCCAUUUCAGCUCCAAAAACGAGCUGAGAACUGUCCAUAAACCAGCUCCAAACCACCCCAAAAUCAUCUCCAAAAUGCUGCCAAAAAACCAGCAGUUUUCUCCCAAAUACGACUUCAAAUCUCAGCCUAAAACCAGUCCAAAAGUCCUUGUGACAGCAGCUCUUUUGCACAAUAAUCAGCAGCAACACCAUCUCCAACAAACCUCUUAAACCAUCGUGAAACAGCUGCGGAAAAAUAGCGAAAGAAGCAGCUGUAAAACAGCCAUGAAAGCGGCCCAAAUUACCAGGAAAAUGCAGCCAUAAACUUUCCAAAACACCAUAAAAACAUUGCCAUGUGAACCCAUAAAACCCAGCUUCCGAAAGCGCCUCAAAACAGCUUGUUUCCACCAUUGUUGCAGCUUGUUUGGAGUUCGAAAUUGAGAGGUCCGUUUGAGUCAGAAGUUUUCCGGUCGAGGUUUUGUUUGCGGUUUCGGUUCCAGGUCCGGUGCUUUUGUCGGGUUGCGGUUUUCCUCUUCAUUUUGUACAUUGCUCAAGAUUGUUGAAUCAGUUUUUGGAAGAAAAAUUCUCAAAGGUGCAUUUCAAUUACAUCAUGCGUAUUUAAUCCACUGAAUAUCUUAUGCUUCAUUGUUGGAUUGUUUGUCGAGCUAAUGAAUAGCUUCUGUUUAUUUAAGCUUUCAAAUGCAUAUUUGGCUUAGUUUACCCGAUGCUCAUGGAAUUUUGCUUUAAAUGCUAAUGUUAAAUGUUUAUUGACUUUAAUGACAGAUAUUGGGUUGUUUUUCUUACUUUGGUAAUUGGGGUUGGCUGAAAAUCUGGCAAUUAAUUUAGCCUUAGCAGGCCAUUUGGGAGAUAGUUAGAUAAUAAAAUUGGGCCAUUAAGGUUAAUAACCAAUGAGUGGGUCAUCUUACUGUUUGCUUAGCUUUCAUUUCAUUAGCUGUUGAGUUUUUCUUAUUGGUUUCUUGUUUUAAUUAGAAAACUUAUUAAUUUACAUGUUAAAAAAUAUUGUGUUGGGUUUAAUUAGACUUAGAGGAGGAAGAUUUGGGCAGAUGGGUUUUGAAAUUGAAAAAGAAGUCAAAAGUGGAUUUGAGAUUUUUCUUUUUGGGCUCCAUUAAGUUGAACCAUGUCAGGCCCAAUUGAUAAGAGCUAUAGGUAGCCCAAUCUUAGUAAACGCAUUUAACUGGCCCAUUUACACCCUUCUCCACGAAUUCAUUCUAUAACUCUUGAGCCUCACAACAAUCUCAGAUUCAGAGAAAAAUAAUUCAAGAACAUCGUAGCUUGCUUUAGGGAUUAAUAAAUCAUCGUGACUAUGGGUACGGUUCCCGUGGCAUAGUCACGAUACAUAACUCUAAAUUCAAGUACGCGUUUCACGCGACUUGACCCUAACUUCAAAUAAUAAAAUAAACAUGUUGUAAAUCGCAGGUGCAUUUCACGUGGCGCGGUUUGCAAUGUGUACCAAAACUAUAAGUGUACAAAAUCGUAACUUGUUCAAAAAAUAAUUCCAUAAAUACUAAAAGCAGUUAAAAUAAAUUAAAAGCGGUAAAUGCACAAUAGGUUUAAAACAUGUAAUAACCCAGAUAAUUAGGCCAAUUAUUAAUAGUUGAGCGACCGUGCUAAAGCCACGGAACUCGGGAGUGCCUCACACCUUCUCCCGGGUUAACAGAAUUCCUUAUCUUGUCUUCUGUGUUCGCGGACCAAAAGUAGAGUCAUUUUCCUUGAUUUGGAAUUUUAAAAUAAAUCGGUGACUUGGGACACCAUAAUAAUUAUUUCAAGUGGCGACUCUGAAUUAAAUAAAUAAUCUCAUUUCGAAUAAUGUCACUUUAAUUGGAAAAACUCCCUUUCCUUCAGAAAAAAGGAGGUGUGACAGGUACCAUCAGGUAAGGGUUAAAGAGACAGAUAUUCCGAAUACAACAUUCAGGACCAGAUACGGACACUUUGAGUUUCGUGUUAUGUCGUUCGAUUUGACCAAUGCCCCAGCAGUAUUCAUGGACUUGAUGAACCAUUUGUUCAGGCUCUUUCUAGAUCUAUUCGUGAUUGUAUUUAUAGAUGAUAUUUUGGUUUAUUACCGUUCAAAGGCUAAGCAUGCAGAUCAUUUGCGUAUUGUGCUCAGAGUUCUACUAAAAAGGAAGUUGUACGCAAAAUUCUCUAAAUGUGAAUUCUGGUUGAAUUUUGUAACUUUCCUUGGGCAUAUUAUUUCAGGUAAGGGUACCCGGAUUGAUACACAAAAAAUCGAGGAAGUGAAGACUUGGCCUAGACCCACGACACCGAUGGAGGUUCGUAGCUUCCUGUGUUUGGCAGGUUAUUACAUGAGAUUUGUAGAGGACUUUUCUUAUCUUUCAGCACCAUUGACAAAGUUGACUCAGAAGGCAACUAAGUUUCAGUAGACUAAUGCUUGUGAGCACAGUUUCCAGGCAUUGAAGGAUAGAUUGACUUCAGCACCGGUUCUGACACUUCCAGAGGGAACCGAUGGUUAUGCUAGCUAUUAUAAUACUUCAGGCGUUGGAUUGGGUUGUGUAUUGAUGUAGCAUGGUAUGGUUGCCGCUUAUGCUUCUAGGCAACUAAGGAAGCAUGAGAAGAAUUACCCGACCCAUAAUUUAGAGUUAGCCGUGGUGAUUCAUGCACUGACGAUGUGAAGGCACUAUUUGUAUGGCAUACAUGUUAAUAUCUACUCGGAUCAUAAGAGCCUUCAGUAUAUCUUCAAGAAAAAGGAAUUGAAUUUACGUCGGAGGCGAUGGUUGGAGCUACUGAAAGACUAUGAUGUUGAUAUUUUACACCAUCCAGGGAAGACGCCCUAAUUCGUAGAUCUUUGGGUAGCCUAUCAUAUUUACAACCAGAGAAGAGUGAGAUAGCCUGUGAGAUUUAUCAGCUAGCUAGUCGUGCAGUUCAAUUACUGGAUUCGGGUGAUACCAGAGUUACUAUUUAGGACACGAUAACAUCCUCUUUAGUAACUGAAGUGAAGGAACGCCAGCAUAAGGAUCAUGUGCUAGCUCAUUACAGGGAUACAUCCCCUUAAAAGGAGAAGACACCAUUUGAGAUUACAGGAGAUGGAGUCCUUAGAUAUCGAGGUCAAUUAUGUGUUCCUAAUGUGGCAGGACUGCACCGGCAGGCUAUGGGAGAAACUCAUUAUUCUCGUUAUUCUGUUCAUCCAGGAGCGAUGAAAAUGUAUCAUGAUAUCAGGAAAAUAUACUGGUGGGAUAAAAUCAAGAAGGAUAUAGCAGAGUUUGUUGCUCAGUCCGGUAAUUGUCAGCAGGUUAAGAUUGAGCAUCAGAAAGCUGGUGGAUUAUUGCAGGCUAUAGAGAUUCUGACUUGGAAAUGGGAAGUAAUUAAUAUGGAUUUCAUCAUAGGAUUACCUCGUGCCCAGCGCAAGUUCGAUUCUAUAUGCGUGAUUGUUGAUAGACUUACAAAAUCAACCCAUUUUCUUAUUGUCAGGACUACAUAUUUAGCAGAGGAUUAUGCAAGGGUUUACAUUAAGGAGAUAGUACGACUUCAUGGUAUCCCUAUAUCUGUUAUCUCAGAUAGAGGUGCUCAGUUUACAGCUAAUUCUGGAGGUCCUUCCAAAAGGAAUUGGGGACUCAGGUAAGUCUUAGUACAACAUUUCAUUCCCAGACAAACGGUCAGGUUGAGCGUACUAUUCAGACACUGGAGGAUAUGCUACGGGCUUGUGUGAUAGAAUUCAGGGGUAGCUGGGAUGAUCAUCUUCCUCUUAUCGAGUUCGCAUUUAAUAAUUAGUUAUCAUUCCAUCAUUCAGAUGGCUCCAUAUGAAGUUCUUUACGGACGGAAGUGUAGGUCAUCUAUCGGAUGGUUCAAUGUUGGGGAAACUAAGUUAGUAGGACCAGAGUUGGUACAAUAGGUAGUUGAGAAGAUUAAGCUUAUAAGGGAAAGGCUAUUAGCAACUCAGAGUCGUCAGAAGUCCUAUGCAGAUAAUCGACGAUGAGACUUGGAGUUUUAGGUAGACGACUGGGUAUUCCUAAAGGUAUCACCGAUGAAAGGCGUUAUGAGAUUCGGUAAGAAAGGAAAUCUUAGCCCUCGGUACAUUGGACCUUAUAAGAUUAUUCGUAGAGUAGGCCAUGUAGCAUAUGAGUUAGACUUGCCUUCCAACUUGGAGUCUGUACAUCCAGUCUUUCAUGUGUCUAUGCUCUGUAAGUGUAUCAGAGAUUCGUUUAGAGUCGUUCCAGUUGAUGAUGUUCAGGUCACAGAGCAACUAUCAUAUGAGGAAUAUCCCAUUCCGAUACGAGAUAGACAUGUCCGGAGAUUGAGAACUAAGGACGUAGCUUCAGUUAAAGUACUUUGGAGAAAUAAGAAUGUGGAGGAGAUGACUUGGGAAGCUGAAGAAGACAUGAAGUCUAGGUAUCCUUACUUGUUUCCGCUUCUGGAGGAGGAACCGACUGAGACAUCACAACCUUUAGGUGCAUAUACGAUACUGGAUUCUUAUGUUAGUUAUUGUCGUUGGUCGUGUGAGGCCAUUGGUGUUAUUGAUGAUUGUGGCCCUGUAUGGCUUUGUAUUGUUGGGUUUGCUACAUGACAGGUUGGUAGUAGUACCAUUACAGAGGAGACUUUUCUAAUAUUUCUAUAUAUCUUUGAGAGUUUAACAUUCGAGGAUGAAUGUUUCUAAGGGGGGAAGAUUGUUACAUCCUGUGCGUGCCAAGAUGACGUAUAAUGAAUAUGAGACUUGUUAGUCAUGAUUUAAAUGAGUCUAAAAUCAUAAUAUGACUAUAUAUGAUGUUUGGAUAUAAAAUAUAUAGUUUGGGAAAAAUCUAAUUUAAGUUGCGAAAAAUCCGACAAAAGAUUUGCCUUGUAAUUAAGCUUUUUGAGCAAUAUAUUUCGUGUGUUAUAUGAGGUAUUCUUGGGGAUAUAUUUUACACCAAAUUGAAGGUCUUCGAAUGCAGUUUCCAACACUCUUAACCGUUACAGUGACCAUGACCAAAUAAGACCUAUAAACUUACCCUUAAGCUUUCAACAAGGGUUUCAAAAAGGAUUAACAUCUCGGGUACAAAAUCAAGAAGCGAUAACAUUAGAACGAUACCUAUGAUAUAAGUAUCAUUAUACCGCCUCUCGUUUUCUUUGUAGUUUGUAUUUUGGAAGGUACUUCAUAGUUAAAUAAAUGCCUACUUUCUUUAUUUAAGCUUUUAAAUCUCAAGGAAGGUUGAUAAAUUCGUUUCCCAAUAGUUAGGACUCACGGGAUGGUGAUCGGAAGCUGUGAGUUCGAUUUAUUCCACUUGUAGUGGAUUGUUUUGUAGUCCACUAAUGUUGGCCUCUUGUGCUACCAAUUUAUGGAGUUUUGAAGGAUGAAAGGCGUGGAGAAACGCCAAAUGUGGUAGGAUAGUGGGCUGGUCGCGCGUCGUUGCAAUUUCAGGCUAAUUAAUAACUUGUUCAUUGGGUGUGUUAUGGUAUAUUUGGGCUUUUUGCUGUAUUAAAGGUCCCUAAUUGUAGUUAGGUUGUUUUUGAGUUAUUGAUUGUAUUGUGUUGUUGUCUUGCCUAUAGUAGGCUUGAGGAAGUAUUAAAAUCAAGGUAAAUGCUGCCCAUUUUGUUACAGAUUAAGUUACUUUUGUUAUAUAAAUGAGAAAGUCAUUCGUAGCUUGACAAUAGCUUCACUGUUGUUGUUGUACAUUAAGGUGAAGUGAGCUAAGUUUAGCAUUGUUAUUGGAUAGAUUUCUAUAAGGUAUGUUAAGGCUAUCCCUUCUUUCCUUUUGGCAUGAUCCAUAUGAUACAAUGAAACGAGCAAACACACAACUUUCACAAAUGACUAUAUUCUUAGAAGUACUAGGGUUGCCUCUGUUCUUGAUUCGUCAUAUGUCCAAUUAUUUUAUUGUCUGUUAAUGGGUCUCAAAAAAUACGUAAGUUGAUAAAGUUUAUUUAAUGAUAUUAACCGAAGGCAUAUUGUCCUUAUGACAUCCCGAGAGAUCUUAUUGACUUACUUUUUAUGCAUUGCAUUCAUUUAUACAUGUACAUUGACCCAUGACCAAACGGCGUUAUAUACACGUAGAUUAUAUGUAUAUGGGAUAUGGGAAAAGGUUAUGGCGUUAUAUACGUACUACCACCUGAUCAGUUGGUAUACGUUGAUGAUUUCGACUACUGAGGCCGAGAUGAUAUGAUGGGAUGCCCUUAGAGGCUUGAUUAUAUUAUGUAUGAAUAUAUAUAUGAAUGGUAUGACAUUUAUACAUAUAUGCAUGACAUUAUAAAUGUUUCAUGAUUCACAGAGCUAUUCAGACGUACAAGUUGAGUCCUUAACUCCAUGUUUCUUUCAUGUCUUCUAUAUACUAAUUUUUAUGUCUUACAUACUCGGUACUUAUUUGUACUUACGCCCUUAUUACCUGGGGGCCUGUGUUUCAUGUAGGUAGACAGGCUGACGGUCCCCCUUCUUUGGAUCCUUGCUCAGUGAGNGUUGGUG